AUCCAGUUGACGAGUCUCAAAUAGGACGAAACACGCGUCCUGGAU
RNAcentral lists this non-coding RNA (45 nucleotides) under Schistosoma mansoni. The record is from RNAcentral. Lineage: Eukaryota; Metazoa; Platyhelminthes; Trematoda; Strigeidida; Schistosomatidae. RNAcentral also lists the same sequence under 1 other name.